This 636-nucleotide unclassified non-coding RNA is filed under the name Hevea brasiliensis (rubber tree). The record is from RNAcentral. Lineage: Eukaryota; Viridiplantae; Streptophyta; Magnoliopsida; Malpighiales; Euphorbiaceae.
GGGACUUUUUUUGUUGGUUUAUCUCACCUUGAGAACUACAAGUGAUAAUUCUCUUAGAGAAAACAAAUGGAUGGGGGAAAAAGAUACUGUUAUAUGUUAUAUUUUUGCCAAGUCCUCUUUGCAAAGUGUGUUGAAGAUAAUUUUUCUUUUAUUUAUACAUAGUAGCAUAAAAAUAACUCAAAAGUUUGCUAAUUGAACUCCCCAAAACUUUUGUCCUUGUAUGAAUGAUAGAUUGAAAAGCUUUCACUGGUUUCUUCACAUAAGUUCUCUGAAACUCUUGUUUUUAUUGCUGCCUAACUUCAUGUGCAAUCCGAACUGAUAGGAGAUUUAAAACAUGGCAUUGUUAAGUUGAUUGUAUGGUCAUGUAUUUUGCUGUUAAUUCUCUGACCGAUAAGACACUUCUCUUGAUAUGACCUGAACGAAGGUUCAGUGUGUCAAAUGGGAUCAUGUGUAAUUUAGGUGUUUCCUCAUUUUAAUACAAUGAUGUUAGAAUAAGUGAUGAGUUUUAUUUUUGGCUAUACUGUCCCCCGUUUAAACUCCUGUUAAACUUUUCCCCUUUUCAAUUCAAUUCUGCUAAGCAAUUGUUUAUUGCAUUCUGUUCUGUUGGUUAUUUAUUGCUUUUCUGGCAUCUGCAGG